GGAGAGGUGGCCGAGUGGUCGAAGGCGCCAGACUCGAAAUCUGGUAGGGUGGUAACGCCCUCGUGGGUUCGACUCCCACCCUCUCCG
RNAcentral lists this transfer RNA (87 nucleotides) under Candidatus Lambdaproteobacteria bacterium. RNAcentral describes it as "tRNA-Ser". It matches the Rfam family "tRNA". From Rfam's summary of the family: Transfer RNA (tRNA) molecules are approximately 80 nucleotides in length. Their secondary structure includes four short double-helical elements and three loops (D, anti-codon, and T loops). Further hydrogen bonds mediate the characteristic L-shaped molecular structure. tRNAs have two regions of fundamental functional importance: the anti-codon, which is responsible for specific mRNA codon recognition, and the 3' end, to which the tRNAs corresponding amino acid is attached (by aminoacyl-tRNA synthetases). tRNAs cope with the degeneracy of the genetic code in two manners: having more than one tRNA (with a specific anti-codon) for a particular amino acid; and 'wobble' base-pairing, i.e. permitting non-standard base-pairing at the 3rd anti-codon position. Lineage: Bacteria; Pseudomonadati; Pseudomonadota; Candidatus Lambdaproteobacteria. The record is from RNAcentral.